Molecule: long non-coding RNA, 134 nt
Organism: Homo sapiens (human)
Lineage: Eukaryota; Metazoa; Chordata; Mammalia; Primates; Hominidae
Source: Ensembl
AGAGGUUUAACUACACUAGUAUAGAGCAUCGUUUACUAAAGGUUUGUUGAGGUUUGUUGUUGAUUUGUUUCUACUUACACGAGAUGUCUUCAUUUUUACCCUCGGUCUUGAAAUAAAAUUUUGGUGCAUGUUCA